CAUCUGGUAGGAUUAAUUAAUCCAAAGUUUACAUCUGACAGUAAUUAAAAAUCACCAAGCCAAUGAGAUAUAAAUAGGAUUUCAACUGUAAUAAAGAGAAGAGAGAGGAAGGAAGUGGAGGUUAUUUGUAGAAAAGAGAAAUUCAAAAGGUCAAAUUCUUCCAGAAGAAUUUAAAAUCUCCAAAUUGGAGAGGAAUUUUCAUGCACAGACCACAACUGGCUCCAAGAAGUCAAGAAAGCAAGAACUAGCUGACACAGGGCAAGUAAACCUGUGAUUGAAUUAAUGGCUGAUUCAAUAAAAUUAAUACACUCCUGUAAGUCACAUGAAGCACAGGUCCAAGGAACAGAUGGCUGAAUAUAUCUGCAGACUCGCAUUGACAAACUACA
Molecule: long non-coding RNA, 386 nt
Filed under: Capra hircus (goat)
Lineage: Eukaryota; Metazoa; Chordata; Mammalia; Artiodactyla; Bovidae
Description: lncRNA (ENSCHIG00000006922.1)
Source: RNAcentral